GACGGAGGAUGCAAGUGUUAUCCGGAAUCACUGGGCGUAAAGCGUCUGUAGGUGGUUGUUUAAGUCAACUGUUAAAUCUUGAGGCUCAACCUCAAAAUCGCAGUCGAAACUAUUCAACUAGAGUAUAGUAGGGGUAAAGGGAAUUUCCAGUGGAGCGGUGAAAUGCGUAGAUAUUGGAAAGAACACCGAUGGCGAAGGCACUUUACUGGGCUAUUACUAACACUCAGAGACGAAAGCUAGGGUAGCAAAUGGGAUUAGAUACCCCAGUAGUCCUAGCUGUAAACAAUGGAUACUAGAUGUUGAACAGAUCGACCUGUGCAGUAUCAAAGCUAACGCGUUAAGUAUCCCGC
Molecule: ribosomal RNA, 350 nt
Filed under: uncultured diatom
Lineage: Eukaryota; Bacillariophyta
Description: SSU rRNA
Rfam family: Bacterial small subunit ribosomal RNA
Source: RNAcentral